This is a long non-coding RNA of Poecilia latipinna (sailfin molly), 409 nucleotides long. RefSeq lists it as uncharacterized. The record is from RefSeq and is a predicted model, not a curated record. NCBI's taxonomy places the organism in Eukaryota, Metazoa, Chordata, Actinopteri, Cyprinodontiformes, Poeciliidae. The transcript has 3 exons.
GAGAAGGAGAAGCUUGACCAGGAGAAGUCUGAAAUCAAACAGGAAAAGGUUUGUUUGUGCUUCUAAAUCCUCAUCCUGAUAGUAUUUCACAAAUCUUUAGCUAGUUUUUGGGGUAGAUGAUAUGGCUGAAAAAAUUAGCACAAUAUAAACGUUUAUCAGUCCAUCAAUCAUUAUUGAUUAGUUUUUUGUUUUAAGAGAAGGUCGGUGAACUUUCUGAAAGUGAUAAAACGAGAUGGCCGCCAGCAUGUUGUUUUUGCUUAGAGUGUGUGUGAGGAUGUGAAGUAGAAACUGUGGCUCACACACACACACGUGUCCUUACAGGCUGAAAAGAAAGACGAAGAAAAGCAGGUUUGUGAUCUCAUUUCACCUCCAUCUGAGGAAAACUUCCUCUUAGUGUUUCUUUAAUGCG